Molecule: ribosomal RNA, 600 nt
Filed under: uncultured bacterium
Lineage: Bacteria
Description: bacterial SSU rRNA
Rfam family: Bacterial small subunit ribosomal RNA
Source: RNAcentral
UACUGACGCUAAAGCUCGAAGGUGCGGGUAUCGAACAGGAUUAGAUACCCUGGUAGUCCGCACGGUAAACGAUGGAUGCCCGCUGUUUGCGAUAUACUGUGAGCGGCCAAGAGAAAUCGUUAAGCAUCCCACCUGGGGAGUACGCCGGCAACGGUGAAACUCAAAGGGAUUGACGGGGGCCCGCACAAGCGGAGGAACAUGUGGUUUAAUUCGAUGAUACGCGAGGAACCUUACCCGGGCUUGAACUACCAGCGAACGAUUCAGAGAUGAUGAGGUCCUUCGGGACGCUGGUGGAGGUGCUGCAUGGUUGUCGUCAGCUCGUGCCGUGAGGUGUCGGCUUAAGUGCCAUAACGAGCGCGACCCUUUUCUUUAGUUGCCAUCAGGUAAUGCUGGGCACUCUGGAGAUACUGCCACCGUAAGGUGUGAGGAAGGUGGGGAUGACGUCAAAUCAGCACGGCCCUUACGUCCGGGGCUACACACGUGUUACAAUGGGGGGUACAGAGAGUCGGAUAUACGCAAGUAUGUUCUAAUCCUUAAAGCCUUCCUCAGUUCGGAUUGGGGUCUGCAACCCGACCCCAUGAAGCUGGAUUCGCUAGUAAU